Molecule: ribosomal RNA, 432 nt
Filed under: uncultured bacterium
Lineage: Bacteria
Description: bacterial SSU rRNA
Rfam family: Bacterial small subunit ribosomal RNA
Source: RNAcentral
AUUGAACGCUGGCGGAAUGCUUUACACAUGCAAGUCGAACGGUAGAGGGGGCAACCCCUUGAGAGUGGCGAACGGGUGAGUAAUAUAUCGGAACGUGCCCAGUCGUGGGGAUAACGUAGCGAAAGUUACGCUAAUACCGCAUACGAUCUAAGGAUGAAAGCGGGGGACUCGCAAGAGCCUCGCGCGAUUGGAGCGGCCGAUAUCAGAUUAGGUAGUUGGUGGGGUAAAGGCUCACCAAGCCAACGAUCUGUAGCUGGUCUGAGAGGACGACCAGCCACACUGGAACUGAGACACGGUCCAGACUCCUACGGGAGGCAGCAGUGGGAAUUUUGGACAAUGGACGCAAGUCUGAUCCAGCCAUUCCGCGUGCAGGAUGAAGGCCCUCGGGUUGUAAACUGCUUUUGUACGGAACGAAAGGUUUCUAUUAAUACU